Molecule: ribosomal RNA, 463 nt
Filed under: uncultured bacterium
Lineage: Bacteria
Description: bacterial SSU rRNA
Rfam family: Bacterial small subunit ribosomal RNA
Source: RNAcentral
GACGACGCUGGCGGCGUGCCUAACACAUGCAAGUCGAGCGAAUGAAGUUCCUUCGGGAACGGAUUUAGCGGCGGACGGGUGAGUAACACGUGGGCAACCUGCCUCAUAGAGGGGAAUAGCCUUCCGAAAGGGAGAUUAAUACCGCAUAAGAUUGUAGUACCGCAUGGUACAGCAAUUAAAGGAGCAAUCCGCUAUGAGAUGGGCCCGCGGCGCAUUAGCUAGUUGGUGAGGUAACGGCUCACCAAGGCGACGAUGCGUAGCCGACCUGAGAGGGUGAUCGGCCACAUUGGGACUGAGACACGGCCCAGACUCCUACGGGAGGCAGCAGUGGGGAAUAUUGCACAAUGGGGGAAACCCUGAUGCAGCAACGCCGCGUGAGUGAUGACGGCCUUCGGGUUGUAAAGCUCUGUCUUCAGGGACGAUAAUGACGGUACCUGAGGAGGAAGCCACGGCUAACUACGUG